GAUCAUGGCUCAGGAUGAACGCUAGCUACAGGCUUAACACAUGCAAGUCGAGGGGCAGCAUGGGAGUUGCUUGCAAUUCCUGAUGGCGACCGGCGCACGGGUGAGUAACGCGUAUCCAACCUUCCCCUUAGUAGGGCAUAGCCCGGUGAAAAUCGGAUUAAUACCCUAUGUUUUCCAAUGCAGACAUCUAAAAUGGAACAAAGGUUUACCGCUAAGGGAUGGGGAUGCGUCUGAUUAGGUAGUAGGCGGGGUAACGGCCCACCUAGCCUUCGAUCAGUAGGGGUUCUGAGAGGAAGGUCCCCCACAUUGGAACUGAGACACGGUCCAAACUCCUACGGGAGGCAGCAGUGAGGAAUAUUGGUCAAUGGGCGAGAGCCUGAACCAGCCAAGUAGCGUGCAGGAUGACGGCCCUAUGGGUUGUAAACUGCUUUUAUAUGGGGAUAAAGUUCACCACGUGUGGUGUUUUGUAGGUACCAUAUGAAUAAGGACCGGCUAAUUCCGUGCCAGCAGCCGC
Molecule: ribosomal RNA, 514 nt
Filed under: uncultured bacterium
Lineage: Bacteria
Description: bacterial SSU rRNA
Rfam family: Bacterial small subunit ribosomal RNA
Source: RNAcentral